This 427-nucleotide ribosomal RNA is filed under the name uncultured bacterium. RNAcentral's name for it is "partial 16S ribosomal RNA". It matches the Rfam family "Bacterial small subunit ribosomal RNA", at positions 355 to 774 of the family's 1533-position model. The record is from RNAcentral.
UGGGGAAUAUUGGACAAUGGGCGAAAGCCUGAUCCAGCCAUGCCGCGUGUGUGAAGAAGGUCUUCGGAUUGUAAAGCACUUUAAGCUGGGAGGAAGGGCAGUAAGUUAAUACCUUGCUGUUUUGACGUUACCGACAGAAUAAGCACCGGCUAACUCUGUGCCAGCAGCCGCGGUAAUACAGAGGGUGCAAGCGUUAAUCGGAAUUACUGGGCGUAAAGCGCGCGUAGGUGGUUUGUUAAGUUGGAUGUGAAAGCCCCGGGCUCAACCUGGGAACUGCAUCCAAAACUGGCAAGCUAGAGUACGGUAGAGGGUGGUGGAAUUUCCUGUGUAGCGGUGAAAUGCGUAGAUAUAGGAAGGAACACCAGUGGCGAAGGCGACCACCUGGACUGAUACUGACACUGAGGUGCGAAAGCGUGGGGAGCAAACA